GACGAACGCUGGCGGCGUGCUUAACACAUGCAAGUCGAACGCUGAACCCGCUUCGGUGGGGGUUGAGUGGCGAACGGGUGCGUAACACGUGGGCAACCUGCCCCCGGCUCUGGGAUAACUCCAAGAAAUUGGGGCUAAUACCGGAUGUGACCGCUGGCCGCAUGGUCUGGUGGUGGAAAGGGUUUCCGGCUGGGGAUGGGCCCGCGGCCUAUCAGCUUGUUGGUGGGGUAGUGGCCUACCAAGGCGACGACGGGUAGCCGGCCUGAGAGGGUGACCGGCCACACUGGGACUGAGACACGGCCCAGACUCCUACGGGAGGCAGCAGUGGGGAAUAUUGCGCAAUGGGCGGAAGCCUGACGCAGCGACGCCGCGUGGGGGAUGACGGCCUUCGGGUUGUAAACCUCUUUCAGCAGGGACGAAGCGCAAGUGACGGUACCUGCAGAAGAAGCACCGGCCAACUACGUG
Molecule: ribosomal RNA, 465 nt
Filed under: uncultured bacterium
Lineage: Bacteria
Description: partial 16S ribosomal RNA
Rfam family: Bacterial small subunit ribosomal RNA
Source: RNAcentral